GUGCAAGAAUUAUUAGAAUAUAUGCAUUAUUUUUUUUGCAAGCAAUGCCUUGAUGUUUAUGAUACAUUGAUAAUGUACUAAAGUAAACAUAACUUUUUGAAAAGCUUCAGGCAUGCUUUACUUGACACCAAACAUUAUUUAGAACCAGACUGAGUCAUUGAAAAAUGCGAUUGAGAGUUGCUGCCAAUCGGACUCCACCUUGAGCUAAUCGCAAAUUCACUAUUGGUUUUCGGGAUAGGAAAUAAUCAUCUACAAGCAGGUUAUUGUUUUAAUUAUUAUUCCCGAUUUAUCAAAUAAAAAAAUGAACAUGCCUUAAUAUCAGAAGAUUUUGUGGCUUACCUUCUAGUACUGAUCCUUCCGUUACACCUUUGUACGCCCAAUCACAUGCUGCUUUGAUACUUUCAGAUGCAUAUCUAUGGGAAGCAGGCAAUUUUAUUUGAGAGUAAUGCAUCAAUUAAACUAAUAAUUCUUCAUCAAUUCUAGCAUGAUAGUUUAAAAGGAGCUCAAUAAACAGGGCUUCUUGCUACUAUACUGUGAGAGUUGAGUGAUCUUAUGAUAAAUUGUCUAGUGUAUUAUAUCCAAAUAAAAUGAGGUUGUCAAAGCAUACAUGUCUGGGCAGGCUAUCUUGUUACGACUGCAGGUCUCCCAUUUUUGAACUAGAUCUGUCCAUUCUGACUGUUGUUCAUAAUUCCCAAUGCCAAGAGAAAGAAAAUGGGUAUAGGUCAGGAUAGAUGGAGCCAAAACAAAUGAUACAGAUAAUUCAUUUCAAGAGUGGAAUACCGUGAUAUUCUGCUGAAUUGCAUCAAUCAUGUCAUCCACAUUUGAGUUGUAGAAUCUUUCCUCAGCUGUCUCAAUUAUAUUUGCAUCCCAAACAUGGUGAAGGACUUGUUUCCUUGUGUACCAAUGGACAUCAAUUGUGUUGCCUCCCCUGUCUGAAGUAAAACCCACAUGCAGAGGCUACAUUAUGGAAGAUUUUGCUAUCAUUUACUGACUCGAAAAAUAUCAAUAAAUGGGUAUACAUUUCUUGUGUUAUUUAUUGAUUGCCUUACCUGAUGGAUGUCUCCUAUAAAAUGAGAAAGGAAAAGAAGUGCUUCUGUGAGAUUAUCUGAUAUUCACUCAUAUAAUUAUAUUAUGUCAGAAAAGAUUUAAAAAGGAGAAAUUCUUGUACAAAUCGAGCAUAUACUGUGAAUAAAAAGAUGGAAGAUAAGGAAAAAAAAUUAAAAGAGAUUAAACAAAAUGUUUGUUUUAAUUACAUUCAGUCAGGAGGGAGGAAGCAGUGUUGUAGGUAAUAAGUUGGGAAGUGUAAUUGUUAAUUGCACCAGCAACACACCGCCCUUUCUCUCCAUUUUCAUCCUUGCAAUCCCCUAAAUACCCAAAAAGAGAAAAAAGAGGCUAAUAGUACUCUUUGAUCAAGAAAUAGAAAACUUUUGAUGGGAGGGAAGAUAAGGAAAAAGAACUUGCUAUUGUAUUGGUAGGUACAGAGAGAAUCUGGGGUGUCAAUGUAAUGUAGGGCAGAUGACCAAUGGUAACGGAAUUUGACAUUGUCUGCCCAUGAGCACACGCUCGCUAAGUCAUUCUCCGCAGACUCUGGCAGAAGUUGCUUCAGAGCAUCUGCAGCAGCUUCACUCAACCGAGACUGUUCAUAACACAAACACAGAAAACAUACAUCCACUAAAAGAAUAAAAGCAUACCAAAAAUACAUUAGAAGUAGAAGGAAGGCUCAAGGACCUGAGCGAUUCUGCAAACUAUGAAGUGCCCAUCA
RNAcentral lists this unclassified non-coding RNA (1762 nucleotides) under Hevea brasiliensis (rubber tree). The record is from RNAcentral. Lineage: Eukaryota; Viridiplantae; Streptophyta; Magnoliopsida; Malpighiales; Euphorbiaceae.